Molecule: ribosomal RNA, 468 nt
Filed under: uncultured bacterium
Lineage: Bacteria
Description: partial 16S ribosomal RNA
Rfam family: Bacterial small subunit ribosomal RNA
Source: RNAcentral
GACGAACGCUGGCGGCGUGCUUAACACAUGCAAGUCGAACGGAAAGGCCCUGCUUUUGUGGGGUGCUCGAGUGGCGAACGGGUGAGUAACACGUGAGUAACCUGCCCUUGACUUUGGGAUAACUUCAGGAAACUGGGGCUAAUACCGGAUAGGAGCUCCUGCUGCAUGGUGGGGGUUGGAAAGUUUCGGCGGUUGGGUAUGGACUCGCGGCUUAUCAGCUUGUUGGUGGGGUAGUGGCUUACCACGGCUUUGACGGGUAGCCGGCCUGAGAGGGUGACCGGCCACAUGGGGACUGAGAUACGGCCCAGACUCCUACGGGGGGCAGCAGUGGGGAAUAUUGCACAAUGGGCGGAAGCCUGAUGCAGAAACGCCGCGUGCGGGAUGACGGCCUUCGGGUUGUAAACCGCUUUCGCCUGUGACGAAGCGUGAGUGACGGUAAUGGGUAAAGAAGCACCGGCUAACUACGUG